CUAACAGUUAAGCUGAAUUUUGCACUUCAAACUUUUGGAAUAGACUGAGAAAACUAUAGUAAUACAUGGCAAAUUAAAAUAAGAUACUCUGUUCCUGGUCGAGUGUACAAAUCAUGGAAAUUCUGAAUUUAUCAAAGCCAAAAUUUCAAUUUUCUUUGCCCACAAUAUCCUCUGAGUGGAAUCCUUUCCAAAACAACUGAGUGAUGCUAACGAAGAGUUCUACCUCCCAUUAGAGGUAAAAGUUUUUGUUUUGUUUUGUUUUUCCUGUUUUACUGAAUAAACUAUGCUACUUUCUUUUGUAGCUGUACAAGCCUGAAGUUCUCUACAGGAUAUCUGGGUAGAAAGGGUAGCAUCCUCCAAUUCUGGAGCAACCGAAUUGGGACAUACAGAAGCAGGCAACUUACCAUAGUUCUUGUUACUAACCUUUCUGAAGAAGUAGUGAUCUGCAACCAUGUCUGCUUGGCUCAGUCCUCAGUAAGACACAUGAAACUCAGACAUAGCCAAAGGAGCAGAAUAGUGAAAUCAUCACUCUAAUGCUUUCCUUAAGG
Molecule: long non-coding RNA, 548 nt
Filed under: Ailuropoda melanoleuca (giant panda)
Lineage: Eukaryota; Metazoa; Chordata; Mammalia; Carnivora; Ursidae
Description: lncRNA (ENSAMEG00000027345.1)
Source: RNAcentral